Small nuclear RNA from Cervus hanglu yarkandensis (Yarkand deer), 107 nucleotides. NCBI's taxonomy places the organism in Eukaryota, Metazoa, Chordata, Mammalia, Artiodactyla, Cervidae. The record is from Ensembl.
UUGCUAACCUCGGCAGUACAUACACUAAAAUUGGAAUAAUAUAAAGAAGAUUAUCAUGGUACCUAUGCAAGGAUUCCAUGAAAACUCAUGAAACAUUCCUCAUUUUU